RNAcentral lists this ribosomal RNA (269 nucleotides) under Pristurus rupestris rupestris. Its description in RNAcentral is "partial 12S ribosomal RNA". Lineage: Eukaryota; Metazoa; Chordata; Lepidosauria; Squamata; Sphaerodactylidae. The record is from RNAcentral.
CCUAUAAUCGACACCCCACGCUAUACCUCACCCCCCCUAGCCGACCAACCUAUAUACCGCCGUCGCCAGCUCACGCUGUGAGCCCACAGCCGUAAGCGUAAUCAUCGCCCAUUAAAACGACAGGUCAAGGUGUAGUUAAUGGGGGGGCAGUGAUGGGCUACAUUUUCUUCACUAGAAAAUACCACCCGCACCAUGAAAUCUUUGCCCAAAGGCGGAUUUAGUAGUAAGCCCUGACAAGACAUGUCAACCUGAAAUAUGCCCUGGGACAA